RNAcentral lists this ribosomal RNA (253 nucleotides) under uncultured bacterium. RNAcentral describes it as "partial 16S ribosomal RNA". It matches the Rfam family "Bacterial small subunit ribosomal RNA", at positions 524 to 776 of the family's 1533-position model. The record is from RNAcentral.
UACAGAGGGGGCAAGCGUUGUUCGGAAUUACUGGGCGUAAAGGGCGCGUAGGCGGCCUUCUAAGUCGAACGUGAAAUCCCCGGGCUCAACCCGGGAACUGCGUCCGAUACUGGAAGGCUUGAAUCCGGGAGAGGGAUGCGGAAUUCCAGGUGUAGCGGUGAAAUGCGUAGAGAUCGGAAAGAACACCAGUGGCGAAGGCGACUGCCUGGGCCCAGACUGACACUGAGGUGCGAAAGCGUGGGGAGCAAACAGG